UGCUUAACACAUGCAAGUCGACGGGAAUGUUUCGCUGAUGCGAUUUCGGUCAAAUCUUGAAGCAUUUAGUGGCGACGGGUGAGUACGCGUGAGGAACCUGGCCUUUCAGAGGGGGGACAACAGUUGGAAACGACUGCUAAUACCGCAUGAUACAUUUGGGUGGCAUCAUCUGAAUGUCAAAGAUUUAUCGCUGAAAGAUGGCCUCGCGUCUGAUUAGCUGGUUGGUGAGGUAACGGCCCACCAAGGCGACGAUCAGUAGCCGGACUGAGAGGUUGACCGGCCACAUUGGGACUGAGAUACGGCCCAGACUCCUACGGGAGGCAGCAGUGGGGAAUAUUGGGCAAUGGGCGCAAGCCUGACCCAGCAACGCCGCGUGAAGGAAGAAGGCUUUCGGGUUGUAAACUUCUUUUAAGAGGGAAGAGCAGAAGACUGUACCUCUAGAAUAAGCCACGGCUAACUACGUG
This 464-nucleotide ribosomal RNA is filed under the name uncultured bacterium. RNAcentral describes it as "bacterial SSU rRNA". It matches the Rfam family "Bacterial small subunit ribosomal RNA", at positions 45 to 507 of the family's 1533-position model. The record is from RNAcentral.